Molecule: ribosomal RNA, 589 nt
Filed under: Zetaproteobacteria bacterium S2.5
Lineage: Bacteria; Pseudomonadati; Pseudomonadota; Candidatius Mariprofundia
Description: bacterial SSU rRNA
Rfam family: Bacterial small subunit ribosomal RNA
Source: RNAcentral
UCCUACGGGAGGCAGCAGUGGGGAAUAUUGCACAGUGGGGGAAACCCUGAUGCAGCGACGCCGCGUGCGGGAAGAAGGCCUUCGGGUUGUAAACCGCUUUCAAUUGGGAAGAAGAGAUGAGUGCUAAUAUCACUCUGAUUUGACGGUACCUUUAGAAGAAGCACCGGCUAAUUUCGUGCCAGCAGCCGCGGUAAUACGAAAGGUGCAAGCGUUGUUCGGAUUUACUGGGCGUAAAGAGAUCGUAGGUGGUUUGUUAAGUCGGAUGUGAAAUCCCGGGGCUCAACCUCGGAACUGCAUUCGAUACUGGCAGACUAGAGUUUGGGAGGGGUAAGCGGAAUUCCGUGUGUAGCAGUGAAAUGCGUAGAUAUACGGAGGAACACCUGAGGCGAAGGCGGCUUACUGGACCAAUACUGACACUGAGGAUCGAAAGCGUGGGUAGCAAACAGGAUUAGAUACCCUGGUAGUCCACGCCCUAAACGAUGUCUACUAGCCGUAGCGGGUAUCGACCCCUGCUGUGGCGAAGCUAACGCGAUAAGUAGACCGCCUGGGGAGUACGGUCGCAAGAUUAAAACUCAAAGGAAUUGACGGA